AAGUCGUAACAAGGUCUCCGUUGGUGAACCAGCGGAGGGAUCAUUACAGAGUUGCAAAACUCCCACAAACCAUCGCGAAUCUUACCCGUACGGUUGCCUCGGCGCUGGCGGUCCGGAAGGCCCUCGGGCCCCCCCGGAUCCUCGGGUCUCCCGCUCGCGGGAGGCUGCCCGCCGGAGUGCCGAAACCAAACUCUUGAUAUUUUAUGUCUCUCUGAGUAAACUUUUAAAUAAGUCAAAACUUUCAACAACGGAUCUCUUGGUUCUGGCAUCGAUGAAGAACGCAGCGAAAUGCGAUAAGUAAUGUGAAUUGCAGAAUUCAGUGAAUCAUCGAAUCUUUGAACGCACAUUGCGCCCGCCAGUACUCUGGCGGGCAUGCCUGUUCGAGCGUCAUUUCAACCCUCAAGCCCUGCUUGGUGUUGGGGCCCUACGGCUGCCGUAGGCCCUGAAAGCUAGUGGCGGGCUCGCUAUAACUCCGAGCGUAGUAGUAAAAUAUCUCGCUAGGGAGGUGUCGCGGGUUCCGGCCGUGAAAAGCCCAUCUUUUACACAAGGUUGACCUCGGAUCANGUAGGAAAUACCCGCUGGAACUUAAA
This 590-nucleotide ribosomal RNA is filed under the name uncultured fungus. RNAcentral's name for it is "eukaryotic LSU rRNA". The stretch from base 237 to 390 matches the Rfam family "5.8S ribosomal RNA". Lineage: Eukaryota; Fungi. The record is from RNAcentral.